CUCAGCAGUGUCAGGGCCUUAAUGGUGAGAUUAAUGCUUUGCCGCUCCCAGACUGGGCCAUUGCUCUACAAAAAAAAAAAAAAAAAAAAAAAAAAAAAAAAAAAAAAAAUCCUGGCUUGAGAGCCUGAUGAGAUGCUUUUUAGGUGAAAUCUGGAGCUGUGCUGAUUUGCUAUGCUAUGUGGGUGAACCUGUUCUCUCCAUGGGCUGUAAUGAAUUGAAGCAACCAAUGGAUGGCUUGGGGUCCAGUACCAGGUUCUGCUGCCUAAAUAUACAGGAUAAAUGGGUUGGAAACAUCCCUAUCAUGAAAGAUGCUCAUUCCAAUUUCAUGGCACCCAAAGAGACCCUGAGCUUCCUGUGAAGCACCAGAUAUCAUUGUUACUCGGUGAGUUACGACUGCCUUCUUCUCUUUCUUCUUUUUGUUCUCUUUUCUGAAAACAAAAUUUUGACUUAUUUUCACUCCCUCUGUUCCUUCUUCCUCUGACCUCACCCUAGAAUCUAGCCCUUCCGGAGAUGGAAAAGGAAGAUGGAUACUGUUGGCAAAUGUUUUAUUUGUUUUCUUUAUUUCAUAGAAAGCUUAAUUUCACUGGAAUAAGAGUAAAGCCCCAUUUGUGGAGUCAGCUCCAGAGUAAUCUUCUAUCCGUUGACAGUAGUGAGAGCACAGAGUAAGCGUGCUGAGUAAGAGCCGCUGAGUGCGUUUGUCAACACUGGGCGGAAGUUCUUCUCUACUUCGACUGUUUUGGCUACGGUCAUGCUGCUCUGUCUAGAAACUCAUUUCCUUGGACCUCGCGUAGAGCCAUGUGCCUGGUCCUGGAUCAAGGGGGAUUACUGGGGAGUAGAAUACACUUUAGGUUUUUGCUUGUCAUCUAAUUAGGUUCUAUUUUGUCCUAUCCUUUUGCAAUUUUGCAAUUAAUGUAUGGUCACUGCCAAAAAAAAAAAAAAAGAAAAAAGAAGGAAAAACCCUGAAAAAUGUAACAAUGUCAGCCAUCAUUUAACAGCAUAUAAAUCAUGAUUGUUAAUAGUUAUAGUAUGUUUUUCUUCUAUUCCUUGUGUGUGUUUGCGUGUGUGUGUGUGUUGUGUGUGUGUGUGUGUGUGACAGAGACAGAGAUAGAGAGACAGAGAUAGAGAAACAGAAGAGAAGAAGAAGAAGAAGGAGAAGAAAGAAAAUAAAGAAAGAAAAAGAAAGAAAGGAAGGAAGGAA
RNAcentral lists this long non-coding RNA (1198 nucleotides) under Felis catus (domestic cat). Its description in RNAcentral is "lncRNA (ENSFCAG00000050087.1)". Lineage: Eukaryota; Metazoa; Chordata; Mammalia; Carnivora; Felidae. The record is from RNAcentral.